RNAcentral lists this ribosomal RNA (551 nucleotides) under Flectobacillus roseus. RNAcentral's name for it is "bacterial SSU rRNA". It matches the Rfam family "Bacterial small subunit ribosomal RNA", at positions 112 to 662 of the family's 1533-position model. Lineage: Bacteria; Pseudomonadati; Bacteroidota; Cytophagia; Cytophagales; Flectobacillaceae. The record is from RNAcentral.
AACACGUAUGCAACCUACCUAUCAUUGGGGGAUAGCCUUUGGAAACGGAGAUUAAUACCGCAUAAGACAGUAACAUGGCAUCAUGUAGCUGUUAAAGCUUUGGCGAUGAUAGAUGGGCAUGCGUCCAAUUAGUUAGUUGGUGAGGUAACGGCUCACCAAGACGAUGAUUGGUAGGGGAUCUGAGAGGAUAAUCCCCCACACUGGCACUGAGAUACGGGCCAGACUCCUACGGGAGGCAGCAGUAGGGAAUAUUGGGCAAUGGACGGAAGUCUGACCCAGCCAUGCCGCGUGCAGGAAGAAGGCGUUAUGCGUUGUAAACUGCUUUUUUAUAGGAAGAAGGAGACCUUGCGAGGUUUGGUGACGGUACUAUAAGAAUAAGCACCGGCUAACUCCGUGCCAGCAGCCGCGGUAAUACGGAGGGUGCGAGCGUUGUCCGGAUUUAUUGGGUUUAAAGGGUGCGUAGGCGGUUUAUUAAGUCAGUGGUGAAAGACGGUCGCUCAACGAUUGCAGUGCCAUUGAUACUGGUAGACUUGAGUUCGUAUGAGGUAGCU